This 672-nucleotide ribosomal RNA is filed under the name uncultured Bacteroidales bacterium. RNAcentral describes it as "bacterial SSU rRNA". It matches the Rfam family "Bacterial small subunit ribosomal RNA", at positions 79 to 747 of the family's 1533-position model. Lineage: Bacteria; Pseudomonadati; Bacteroidota; Bacteroidia; Bacteroidales. The record is from RNAcentral.
CUAAGGCUGAUGGCGACCGGCGCACGGGUGAGUAACACGUAUCCAACCUGCCGUCUACUCUUGGCCAGCCUUCUGAAAGGAAGAUUAAUCCAGGAUGGGAUCAUGAGUUCACAUGUCCGCAUGAUUAAAGGUAUUUUCCGGUAGACGAUGGGGAUGCGUUCCAUUAGAUAGUAGGCGGGGUAACGGCCCACCUAGUCAACGAUGGAUAGGGGUUCUGAGAGGAAGGUCCCCCACAUUGGAACUGAGACACGGUCCAAACUCCUACGGGAGGCAGCAGUGAGGAAUAUUGGUCAAUGGGCGAUGGCCUGAACCAGCCAAGUAGCGUGAAGGAUGACUGCCCUAUGGGUUGUAAACUUCUUUUAUAAAGGAAUAAAGUCGGGUAUGCAUACCCGUUUGCAUGUACUUUAUGAAUAAGGAUCGGCUAACUCCGUGCCAGCAGCCGCGGUAAUACGGAGGAUCCGAGCGUUAUCCGGAUUUAUUGGGUUUAAAGGGAGCGUAGAUGGAUGUUUAAGUCAGUUGUGAAAGUUUGCGGCUCAACCGUAAAAUUGCAGUUGAUACUGGAUGUCUUGAGUGCAGUUGAGGCAGGCGGAAUUCGUGGUGUAGCGGUGAAAUGCUUAGAUAUCACGAAGAACUCCGAUUGCGAAGGCAGCCUGCUAAGCUGCAACUGACAUU